GAGGAUAUGACUCAGUGGUAGAGUGCUUGUCUAGCAUGCAAGAGACCCUACGUUUGAUUCCUAGAACCACA
RNAcentral lists this transfer RNA (71 nucleotides) under Fukomys damarensis (Damara mole-rat). It matches the Rfam family "tRNA". Rfam says of the family: Transfer RNA (tRNA) molecules are approximately 80 nucleotides in length. Their secondary structure includes four short double-helical elements and three loops (D, anti-codon, and T loops). The record is from Rfam by way of RNAcentral. Lineage: Eukaryota; Metazoa; Chordata; Mammalia; Rodentia; Bathyergidae.